UCUCAUAUAUAUUUCUCCAUCGCUGCUUCUCUGUCUAUUUCAAGUUCCGUUGAUUCUUCUUCUUCGUCGGGGACUAUUGAUUCAGUUACUCCAAGAGAUCUGAUGCAACUGCAGAUUUGAGUGGUGCUAUUGAGGCAGGAAACAAAAAGGACAUUGAGAAGUACAGCAAACGAACUGUGAAGUUAUUAUACCAUCCACUUCAAAGCAAUUGAAUCAAGUACUCUUAUUAGUACAUCUACAAUAUCCCACUCUCCAUGUGACAAAACAACUCAAUGACGAUUGCAGAACAAUCUUCGCUCUGUUGUUGCUGUAACAGACUCGGAGUUGCUCUAUAAUCAGGCAAGUCUCUUUCAUAUUUCUUUGUAUAUUUGUUGUUUAUAUGAAAUGGCUUUGUAGAUGCCUAUAUGUUUUCAGUGGCUUUGUUUGUUCAUUGAGUUCUAAAGGUUGUCGCUUUAAUGGUGUUUGUUGUGUAGGGGAAUGAUUUUACUCUUUUUAGCCUCUCCUUCUAGUUUUCUCUGCUCUAAUAAUCUUCAAAGACUUAAAUUCAUUGUUGA
Molecule: long non-coding RNA, 554 nt
Organism: Raphanus sativus (radish)
Lineage: Eukaryota; Viridiplantae; Streptophyta; Magnoliopsida; Brassicales; Brassicaceae
Exons: 3
Source: RefSeq, a predicted model, not a curated record